This 465-nucleotide ribosomal RNA is filed under the name Vreelandella stevensii. RNAcentral's name for it is "partial 16S ribosomal RNA". It matches the Rfam family "Bacterial small subunit ribosomal RNA", at positions 338 to 795 of the family's 1533-position model. The record is from RNAcentral. Lineage: Bacteria; Pseudomonadati; Pseudomonadota; Gammaproteobacteria; Oceanospirillales; Halomonadaceae.
CCUACGGGGAGCAGCAGUGGGGAAUAUUGGACAAUGGGGGGAACCCUGAUCCAGCCAUGCCGCGUGUGUGAAGAAGGCCCUCGGGUUGUAAAGCACUUUCAGUGAGGAAGAACGCCUGGUGGUUAAUACCCAUCAGGAAAGACAUCACUCACAGAAGAAGCACCGGCUAACUCCGUGCCAGCAGCCGCGGUAAUACGGAGGGUGCGAGCGUUAAUCGGAAUUACUGGGCGUAAAGCGCGCGUAGGUGGCUUGAUAAGCCGGUUGUGAAAGCCCCGGGCUCAACCUGGGAACGGCAUCCGGAACUGUCAAGCUAGAGUGCAGGAGAGGAAGGUAGAAUUCCCGGUGUAGCGGUGAAAUGCGUAGAGAUCGGGAGGAAUACCAGUGGCGAAGGCGGCCUUCUGGACUGACACUGACACUGAGGUGCGAAAGCGUGGGUAGCAAACAGGAUUAGAUACCCUUGUAGUC